GGGACUGUGGCUCAGUGGUAGAGCGCUUGCCUUGAAUGCGCGAGGCCCUGGGUUCGAUUCCUCGGUACCA
RNAcentral lists this transfer RNA (70 nucleotides) under Dipodomys ordii (Ord's kangaroo rat). It matches the Rfam family "tRNA". Rfam says of the family: Transfer RNA (tRNA) molecules are approximately 80 nucleotides in length. Their secondary structure includes four short double-helical elements and three loops (D, anti-codon, and T loops). Further hydrogen bonds mediate the characteristic L-shaped molecular structure. tRNAs have two regions of fundamental functional importance: the anti-codon, which is responsible for specific mRNA codon recognition, and the 3' end, to which the tRNAs corresponding amino acid is attached (by aminoacyl-tRNA synthetases). tRNAs cope with the degeneracy of the genetic code in two manners: having more than one tRNA (with a specific anti-codon) for a particular amino acid; and 'wobble' base-pairing, i.e. permitting non-standard base-pairing at the 3rd anti-codon position. The record is from Rfam by way of RNAcentral. Lineage: Eukaryota; Metazoa; Chordata; Mammalia; Rodentia; Heteromyidae.